AGAGUUUGAUCCUGGCUCAGGAUGAACGCUGGCGGCGUGCCUAAUACAUUCAAGUCGAGCGAACGGACGAGAAGCUUGCUUCUCUGAUGUUAGCGGCGGACGGGUGAGUAACACGUGGAUAACCUACCUAUAAGACUGGGAUAACUUCGGGAAACCGGAGCUAAUACCGGAUAAUAUUUUGAACCGCAUGGUUCAAAAGUGAAAGACGGUCUUGCUGUCACUUAUAGAUGGAUCCGCGCUGCAUUAGCUAGUUGGUAAGGUAACGGCUUACCAAGGCAACGAUGCAUAGCCGACCUGAGAGGGUGAUCGGCCACACUGGAACUGAGACACGGUCCAGACUCCUACGGGAGGCAGCAGUAGGGAAUCUUCCGCAAUGGGCGAAAGCCUGACGGAGCAACGCCGCGUGAGUGAUGAAGGUCUUCGGAUCGUAAAACUCUGUUAUUAGGGAAGAACAUAUGUGUAAGUAACUGUGCACAUCUUGACGGUACCUAAUCAGAAAGCCACGGCUAACUACGUGCCAGCAGCCGCGGUAAUACGUAGGUGGCAAGCGUUAUCCGGAAUUAUUGGGCGUAAAGCGCGCGUAGGCGGUUUUUUAAGUCUGAUGUGAAAGCCCACGGCUCAACCGUGGAGGGUCAUUGGAAACUGGAAAACUUGAGUGCAGAAGAGGAAAGUGGAAUUCCAUGUGUAGCGGUGAAAUGCGCAGAGAUAUGGAGGAACACCAGUGGCGAAGGCGACUUUCUGGUCUGUAACUGACGCUGAUGUGCGAAAGCGUGGGGAUCAAACAGGAUUAGAUACCCUGGUAGUCCACGCCGUAAACGAUGAGUGCUAAGUGUUAGGGGGUUUCCGCCCCUUAGUGCUGCAGCUAACGCAUUAAGCACUCCGCCUGGGGAGUACGACCGCAAGGUUGAAACUCAAAGGAAUUGACGGGGACCCGCACAAGCGGUGGAGCAUGUGGUUUAAUUCGAAGCAACGCGAAGAACCUUACCAAAUCUUGACAUCCUUUGACAACUCUAGAGAUAGAGCCUUCCCCUUCGGGGGACAAAGUGACAGGUGGUGCAUGGUUGUCGUCAGCUCGUGUCGUGAGAUGUUGGGUUAAGUCCCGCAACGAGCGCAACCCUUAAGCUUAGUUGCCAUCAUUAAGUUGGGCACUCUAAGUUGACUGCCGGUGACAAACCGGAGGAAGGUGGGGAUGACGUCAAAUCAUCAUGCCCCUUAUGAUUUGGGCUACACACGUGCUACAAUGGACAAUACAAAGGGCAGCGAAACCGCGAGGUCAAGCAAAUCCCAUAAAGUUGUUCUCAGUUCGGAUUGUAGUCUGCAACUCGACUACAUGAAGCUGGAAUCGCUAGUAAUCGUAGAUCAGCAUGCUACGGUGAAUACGUUCCCGGGUCUUGUACACACCGCCCGUCACACCACGAGAGUUUGUAACACCCGAAGCCGGUGGAGUAACCUUUUAGGAGCUAGCCGUCGAAGGUGGGACAAAUGAUUGGGGUGAAGUCGUAACAAGGUAGCCGUAUCGGAAGGUGCGGCUGGAUCACCU
RNAcentral lists this ribosomal RNA (1540 nucleotides) under Staphylococcus aureus M0565. Its description in RNAcentral is "16S ribosomal RNA". It matches the Rfam family "Bacterial small subunit ribosomal RNA". The record is from RNAcentral. Lineage: Bacteria; Bacillati; Bacillota; Bacilli; Caryophanales; Staphylococcaceae.